GAUGAACGCUGGCGGCGUGCCUAAUACAUGCAAGUCGAGCGAACGGACGAGAAGCUUGCUUCUCUGAUGUUAGCGGCGGACGGGUGAGUAACACGUGGAUAACCUACCUAUAAGACUGGGAUAACUUCGGGAAACCGGAGCUAAUACCGGAUAAUAUUUUGAACCGCAUGGUUCAAAAGUGAAAGACGGUCUUGCUGUCACUUAUAGAUGGAUCCGCGCUGCAUUAGCUAGUUGGUAAGGUAACGGCUUACCAAGGCAACGAUGCAUAGCCGACCUGAGAGGGUGAUCGGCCACACUGGAACUGAGACACGGUCCAGACUCCUACGGGAGGCAGCAGCAGGGAAUCUUCCGCAAUGGGCGAAAGCCUGACGGAGCAACGCCGCGUGAGUGAUGAAGGUCUUCGGAUCGUAAAACUCUGUUAUUAGGGAAGAACAUAUGUGUAAGUAACUGUGCACAUCUUGACGGUACCUAAUCAGAAAGCCACGGCUAACUACGUGCCAGCAGCCGCGGUAAUACGUAGGUGGCAAGCGUUAUCCGGAAUUAUUGGGCGUAAAGCGCGCGUAGGCGGUUUUUUAAGUCUGAUGUGAAAGCCCACGGCUCUUUCGUGGAGGGUCAUUGGAAACUGGAAAACUUGAGUGCAGAAGAGGAAAGUGGAAUUCCAUGUGUAGCGGUGAAAUGCGCAGAGAUAUGGAGGAACACCAGUGGCGAAGGCGACUUUCUGGUCUGUAACUGACGCUGAUGUGCGAAAGCGUGGGGAUCAAACAGGAUUAGAUACCCUGGUAGUCCACGCCGUAAACGAUGAGUGCUAAGUGUUAGGGGGUUUCCGCCCCUUAGUGCUGCAGCUAACGCAUUAAGCACUCCGCCUGGGGAGUACGACCGCAAGGUUGAAACUCAAAGGAAUUGACGGGGACCCGCACAAGCGGUGGAGCAUGUGGUUUAAUUCGAAGCAACGCGAGGAACCUUACCAAAUCUUGACAUCCUUUGACAACUCUAGAGAUAGAGCCUUCCCCUUCGGGGGACAAAGUGACAGGUGGUGCAUGGUUGUCGUCAGCUCGUGUCGUGAGAUGUUGGGUUAAGUCCCGCAACGAGCGCAACCCUUAAGCUUAGUUGCCAUCAUUAAGUUGGGCACUCUAAGUUGACUGCCGGUGACAAACCGGAGGAAGGUGGGGAUGACGUCAAAUCAUCAUGCCCCUUAUGAUUUGGGCUACACACGUGCUACAAUGGACAAUACAAAGGGCAGCGAAACCGCGAGGUCAAGCAAAUCCCAUAAAGUUGUUCUCAGUUCGGAUUGUAGUCUGCAACUCGACUACAUGAAGCUGGAAUCGCUAGUAAUCGUAGAUCAGCAUGCUACGGUGAAUACGUUCCCGGGUCU
This 1372-nucleotide ribosomal RNA is filed under the name uncultured bacterium. RNAcentral describes it as "bacterial SSU rRNA". It matches the Rfam family "Bacterial small subunit ribosomal RNA", at positions 28 to 1381 of the family's 1533-position model. The record is from RNAcentral.